Molecule: long non-coding RNA, 409 nt
Organism: Pantherophis guttatus
Lineage: Eukaryota; Metazoa; Chordata; Lepidosauria; Squamata; Colubridae
Source: RefSeq, a predicted model, not a curated record
UUUGUUUUUGGAGGCACUGGUCUACCCAUUUAUUUUUGCAGGCACCGGUCUACUCAUUUGUUUUUGGAGGCACUGGUCUACCACCACACUGCCUUUUAACACUGAUCAGCUGUAGGGCGGCCCUUUGAAAUCCCAUGGCAAGAGUUUAAACAGUUUUUUUCCUUCUAGCCGAUCAGCUGGGAUUCAGGAGGCAGCAAUAGAUUGGAGGUGGCCCAAAUAAAAGGUGCCAAGCCAGUUGGCAGAACCAGGGUUUCAAGCCAUUUUGGAAGACCUAAAAGGUGGAUGCAGAUCUCAUCCCAGGGGCAUGAUAUUCCAGAGGGCAGGAGCCACCUUACCUAAGAAGAUAAGCUGGAUUGGCAGGAGCUGGAGUGAAUGACAGGCGCUUGCCCUGUCAUGCAGCUGCACUCGG